GGAGGCCCGCUCACGCCAUGGCCGGCCGGCCGGGCCGCCGCCGCUGCUGCCUCCUCACCGCCCAGGGCCUGUGCGUCUGUCAGCGCUCAGCCUGGUUUUCGCUUUUCUUUCUGGUGGCAACUCCCUUUGGUCUUUUGUAUAUUUGAUACAAAUGUUUGGCGAAACCACAGAAGGUUCCGAACUUUCUGGCUUCAGGGCCCCUCGGGCUCCUCCUUUGAGCCCUUAUUCCCCCCAUCCAGGUUACCGUUCAUUCAGUGCUGAUACCCUUGUUCUUGCCAAAGGAACUGUGCUCCUCGUCAUAGAAAUCGUGCUCCAUUCAGUUAUUGUCUAGAAGAGCCCUAAGGAGAAACGUGGAGUUAGGGCAGAAUACUAAGACCUAACUUGCUAUCUUGUCUGGAGUCAUAUGGUGACUCUGCAACUUGAUGGAUGACGACAACCCUUUUCCAUCAAAAAAUAAUUCAAAAAUGGCAGAACUCUUUAUGGAAUGUGAAGAAGAAGAGCUAGAACCAUGGCAGAAGAAAGUAGAAGAAAUUCUGGAUGAAGACGAUGAUGAGCUGAUCUUUGUUGGAGAGAUAUCAAGUUCAAAACCAGCCAUUUCAAAUAUUUUGAACAGAGGUAACCCCGGCUCAUCUUCAAAGGGAAUAAAGAAUGAGACACUCACUCAAGGUGUUACUGAUACAUUCAAGCCUACGAGUCAACACUACAAAGAUCCAACAUCAAAUCCAGUGGCUGCCUUGCCUAGAUUUCAUCCUGAAUCUAAAUCUUCACAAAGCUCUGUUAUUGUUCAGAACGUGUCUAAACCUGAUUUUACAAAGAAUUUAUCACAAGUUGAAUCGGAUGAUUCUUCAGAUUUACUGUUUGACUUGACCCAGGAUACAAUUCCACUGUCCCAGGAGGGACCAACAAUUUAUAUAGAAGGUAUAGAUGAAACUCUGCCUAUAAUAAAACGUUCUUCUACUUCUAAAGUAAACAGUGUUAAUCCAAAAAAGCCAAAGACCAGUGAAAGUGGUUCUGACAUAAGUCCUUGUGCUUCGUUGUCCUUAACUAACUCUCCUUCGGUGGCAUCUUCCCAUGUUAUGAUAUCAAAAGGUACAAAUACCUCAUCACCUCACUAUAAAACUGGAGCGCCUUUUCUAAGAUCUUGUCCGAGGUGCAAUGUAAAGUUUAAUCUUUUGGAUCCCUUGAAAUAUCACAUGAAGCGUUGUUGUCCAGACAUGGUGAAUAAAUUCUUGGAAAUGAUUAAAGCAGAACUUAUAAAUACUGAAAAUAAAAAUAAGACUGGUGCAGAAAAAGGAAAAUUAAUUAUGUUAGUUAGUGACUUUUACUAUGGAAGACACGAGGGAGCUGUCGAUGAUGAACAGAAGACUUACACAACUUUUAAAUGCUUCAGUUGCUUGAAAGUUCUUAAAAAUAAUAUUAGGUUUAUGAACCACAUGAAACACCAUCUGGAACUUGAGAAGCAGAACAGCGAGAGCUGGGAAAACCAUACUACCUGCCAGCACUGCUACCGUCAGUAUCCCACACCGUUCCAGUUGCAGUGUCACAUCGAGAGCACACACACUCCGCAUGAGUUUUCUACUAUUUGCAAAAUCUGUGAAUUAUCAUUUGAAACCGAACAUGCUCUUUUGCAACAUAUGAAGGACACUCAUAAACCCGGUGAAAUGCCAUAUAUUUGCCAGGUUUGCCAGUUUAGAUCUUCAACAUUUUCUGAUGUAGAGAAUCAUUUUAGAGCAUCCCAUGAAAACACUAAGAACUUGCUGUGUCCAUUUUGCCUCAAAGUUAGUAAAAUGGCAACUCCCUACAUGAAUCAUUACAUGAAGCAUCAGAAAAAAGGAGUUCAUCGUUGUACCAAGUGCAGACUACAAUUUUUGACCUGCAAAGAGAAACUGGAUCACAAGACCCAGCAUCGGACAUUUAUAAAGCCUAAAGAGCUAGAAGGAUUGCCUCCUGGUACAAAAGUUACUAUUCGAGCCUCAAUUGGACCUCUUCAUUCAAAACCAGUAACUACAUCUCCCAGUAGCAGUGUUCCAAGCACUUCUUCUUUUCAAAUCUCACCUCCAAGGUCUAAAAGUACAACUGCUAAAAAUAUAAAAUCUACUACAAGUAAAUCCAAGACAAGUAAGCCUCAUGCAGCUGUAUCCAGUGCAAGUAAACCUCAUGCCAAAAGGCAAGGUAGAGUUGCAUCUAAAUAUAAGACCAAAAAAACCUCUUGUAAACAAAAGAAACAACGCAACAGAAAGAAUAAAAUCAGCAUAGCUUUGAAGAACUUAAGGUGCCGUCGGGGAAUUCACAAGUGCAUUGAGUGUCAUUCCAAAAUAAAAGAUUUUGCAAGCCACUUUUCAAUAUAUAUCCACUGUAAUUUUUGCAAAUACAACACUAACUGUAACAAAGCCUUUAUAAAUCAUAUGGUGAGCUCUCAUAGCAACCAUCCAAGUAAACGGUUUUAUAUUUUUAAGAAGCAUUCUGGAAUUCUCAGGGGCAUUACUCUAGUGUGCCUUAAAUGUGACUUCCUAACUGAUUCUUCUGGCUUAGAUCGUAUGGCUAAACACCUAAGUCAGCGUAAAACUCAUACUUGCCAAGUUGUAAUAGAGAAUGUUCCUGAAAGUACCUCAACUUCUGAACCCUCGUCUGAGUUCUGGAAAAACAGACUGAAAUCUCUUCCCUGGUGGAGCUUAUAUUUCAGUGGCGGAAGACAAGACAAUAAAAAAUAAGAAAUUUAUAUAGUAUGUUAGAUGAUGAUCAAUGCAACGGAGCAAAAUAAAGUGGGCAAGGAGGAUGUUUCAGGUGUCUAAGUGCCGAGACUGGGACCAGGAUUAGCUCCUUCAGAUGGGCUUCCAACCCAGGAAAUGGGGAAGACUCAAGGGUGUAGCUCUGAAAAGUGAAGACGAUCUGUAGAGGAGACCUACUGGCUAUCAUGGAUCAUUCCAGAGACAUAGUGAGACUGCAUGAGAGGCCUGGAAACACCUCACUUCACUUGAUUCUCCCUGCUCCUCACCACCCUCAACAGCAACAAGGGUGUCAUGAUUCUCUGGCCUCCUUAGUCCCCUUCCUCUGGUGGCAUUCUGGGAUCAGCCCAUUCCCAAAUCCUUUUGCUCCUUCUGAUGGAGGCUUGAGUGCCAUUGUGCCACCCUGCUGAUGCUAGCAGCAAGCUCUAGGGCCAGGAGACUGGGCGGAGCCUGGAGGUUCUCAGGAUUCCCGGGGUCACAGUGGGAAGCCCCAGGACUUCUUGGCUGUUCCCAGGCACCUGAGGGAGAACAAUGUCAUUACUGCAGGAAAGGACAGGAUCAUGCAGGUGAGGCUCAGAGGACAGAGGCAGGUAGGAUUAGUGAGCACCUUCUACUCAAAGCAAAAUUACCAGAGCCUUGGCAGGACCAAAAGAUGAUAGUCUUGGGGAAGUUCAGAGUCUGAUUUUUAAGACGGGGGGCAGCCAGUAUGGAAAUGACAGUCCUAAGGCCCACAUUCAGGAGUCAUCCAGGAAAGGUGUCUAUUCCUCUCAGAAGAGCUAAGGAAAGUAGAGGCUUUUCGCUCUUGCUGGUCAGCAAGCCUGCUGAAUCUUACCAAAGGCUAUUGAGUCUAGGUGAUGAUAAAACCUUCCACUCGCUUCCCACUGCACUUAAAUAAAACUCCAGCCCAACAGACCUGGCCUCACCUACUUCUCAGCCUCAUCGCCCACAUGCUCUCCCUUGCACCCACUAGCCUCCUUUCUGUUUCUCAAGCACACCAACCUCACUUCUGCCUCAGGGCCUUGGCAUUUGCUGUUUCUUCAGCCUGGAGUUCUCGUUCUGACCUCAUACCUGGUUGCUCCUCUCCAUUCGGGUCUCAGCCCAAAUGUUACCUCUUCAAAGAUACCUGUUGUGAUCACUGUAUCUAAUAUGUUGCCCUCCCCCCACCUCCCUCACUUUCCAUCCAUUUACCCUGUUUUAUGACCCUGAGAGUCCUUAUUGCUCUCAAAUUCUCUCAUUAUGUAUCUCACUUCUUGUAUAGUGUCUAUCUCCUUUGUGAGAGCAGGAUUUAAAUUGUUCACCUGCAUUAUCCCCAGGGCUUAGCACAGUGGCUCAUAGUAGAUGCUCAGUAAAUAUUUGUUGAAUGACUGAAAGGUGUCAGAGGCAAUUCCGGUCUAGAAGAGGCAAUCCUGAUUAGAGGACUCAGAAUGUUGUUAUCUUGACCCUGUUACGGCAGAGAAGGACCCUGAACAAGACAGGCCAAGACCCAGACUGAAAUGUAACCAUCAGAAUGGAUAAGUGUACCUGCAGCAACUGAGAGAUGGCCCAGCCCUGCAGCCAAGUCAAGAGCCAAAAGACACCACACAACAGCAGGUCGUGUCCUGGUGCUCUUGACAUUUCUCCAGCCAAACUUGUAAGCAGCCUUUUUCUGCAUCAGAUCACUUGUCACCAUGGUCGUCGUCGUCGUCAUCAUCAUCAUCAUCAUCAUCAAAAGGCAGUAUUGAGCCACCAAAACUACAGUCUGGCAUCCUACGUAUCUCCCAAGGCAAUUUCAGAAAAAACAUUCGACUUUGGUUACACAGAAAAUGUAAGUCCUUGAACAUUGAUUUGCUUCUGAAAGCAGAGAGAGAAAAGAUUUUCACUUUUCCACCUCUCCAGUGCUCUGAGCAGAAAGAAAGAGCAGGCCAGGAAAGGUAUGGAGGUCAAUGGGAAGAGAGCAGGUAUAGCACAAGAAUAUCAUUACCACUUGGCUCCUGAUCCCCACCUCCACCCUCCACUAGUCCUAACUCUUGCCUCUGAGUAAGGCUGAAUCCCUACCAGCCCUCAGGCAUGUGGCAGAUGCUUUAACACCAUGAGCUCAGAACUCUAAAAAUACCUGCCACCAGCAGGAACACGGGUGGGAGUGUGUGAGGUGUUUGGGGCUGAGUGGGUUGGCUGUUUGGCUUUUCUUUGCCUUCAGAAUUGUAUACACCAUCCAAACUGCCAGAGCUGCAGGGAGGAUCCUUCCUGCUGUAGACCUCCUUGCCUUUCCAGUGCCACGGGGAGCCUUGAAGCUUUUAUUUGGAGGCUCAGAAUUUAAAGUGUAGCACUGCUCCCAUUGCAGCUUUUUAUAAACCCCACUCUAAGUUCUUUGCACCCCCGUCAAUGGCAAGCGGUGAGUCCGGAAGCAGGCUGCUCAUAGCACAAAGUCAGAAUGGAUGGUGUGGCCUCAGAGCCAUCACAAAGGGAGAGCGCAGCAGUCAGUUCACUGCACACAAAUGACCUCAUUCUGUUUGGGAGUUUGGUGUCCCUGUUCUUAGCAUCCUCACAAACCCCUGAUCCCUGCCAGACAGCGAAAGUAUCUCCUCCCGCUUUCCAGCUGGCACUCCUCUCAUCCAUUCUUCCCUUUCUGUGGGCACCGCAUCCACACGGUAGCCAGGUGUGCUGGCUGCUUCCUAGCCACAUACAUGCUCCCCAGAUCCUCUUUUCUCUCCCAGGGCUAGUGAGGGCAUCGUGGAGUCAACCAACCUGGGUGCAAACCUCAACAGGAUCAUGUACUAAUCAGGUGCUCUUAGGUGAGUUACUUACUCUGUCUUCAGUGUCCUCCCCUGGAAGCUAAAGAUAACCUCAGCCAUCUCCGUGGGGAUGCUGUGAGGAUUAGCAUUCCUCAUGAGUACACGACACAGCGCCUAAUACGUACUCUCCCUUCCUCCCUGGCCCCAAACUUCCACCAUCAAGUCUGGUCCAACAGCUAAUUGAGCGGGUGCUAUCAGAGAUGCAGCAGCAGUAGGCAUGGCAUUGAGAGACCUGGGUUCCAGCUCCUCUACUUAGUAGCAGAGUAAAUGACGAGGCAGAUUAACACACGAGAAAGAGCUUUUGCAAAAUAGAAGUACUCUGUAAGUGCUGGCUGUUGCCAUUGUCUCAGAGGGCCCAUCGGCUGUCCUGGUAGCACUGUUCCCUGGAUGCACUGGUUCUCCUCCUGGAAAGCACAGAAAGCCUGGCUUCUUGAUGAUGGCAUGGAGCCAAGGCCAAGGCAGUCAGUGGGGAGGGGGAAAGAAAGCAAUGCCAGCAAUGUGCCACAGGCGGCUGGGGGCAGGCCCAGAGUGACAGGGGUGUUGGAGGAGGCUCCAGGGGCACAGUGUGGAGAGCUGCCGAAGAGAAAUCUAGGCUUUUAAACCAUUAUCCUGGGGCUGCCGCUGCCUGAGCAAGCUUCAGCAAGUCCCCCACCCCUGCACGUGCUCCUAGCUCACACGGGUAUUUCUUUUCCCUCUGGAACAUAUCUGGCAUCUUUCUAUAGAUGAGGAGUGAAUGUCCUUUUGUUGGAGGCCGGCGGGGGAGGGUAGAAGUAGAAAAAGGGAGACAGAUACAUCUGUAACCUUUGGAGGAUGCCCAAGUGGAUGAUGGGAAAAGUCGAAAACAAAUCUUUUUUCAUUUAGCUGGACUGUCCCAUCUGCACCUAAGAUACACACACAGUCACACACAAGGCUGACACAGAGAAUGGCAAAGGAGGACAGAGACAAAGAGAAACGCACACACAGAAAGAGAGGCAGCAAGGCAGGCAGAGAAACACACACUGAUGGAUAAUUAGCCAUUAAGUGAACUGGCAUAAGAUGGAAGUUCAGAAGCCCUAAGGAAGACAUGAUGUCAUUCUGACUGCAGGCAGCUUCUGAGGGAACACUGAGCUCAGCCUCUGUCCCCUCAGUAAUAUAACACAGGAAGGUGUCUGUCCAAGUGCUCAGCAGAGGAAGAGAGUCCACAGUCCUGGGUGACACCUGCCCACAGACGCAGCUGACCUGCAGUUUGCCUGGUCGGGAGGGCUGGGGCAGAGGGGUACCAGCUGUUGGGGGAGCUAAACGAGACAGGAGCAGGGGUGCUUCCAUGAGAAUUUACAAAGAAUGGCUCAAAAAUUAGUUCUGAGCCUCUCCUCUCUUACCUCCCUCAUCCCACCCCUCACACACUAUUUGGCACUUUCCAGUGCUUUUAGACUGAGGCAGGCUUAAUAUGAUUUAGCUAAACCUGUAGGAGAUGGACACAUCAUGUCAUUAAGGAAAGCUCCACCCUUCCUUUAGGAUCAAGAAGGCCUCCACACUUCCUAGGCUGAUGUCAUGAAGGGCCGUCAGCUUUCCCAUAUGACGCCCCUCUGUAUCCCUGUCACAGGUAACUGCGUGGGUUGGGUGCACCAUGGGACCAGCCCAAAUUGCUAGGGAAGAGCACCCACAAGGGAAUUGGGAAACCUGAGUGGAAGGCCUGUCCCUGUGUGAUCUUGUCACUUUCCCUCUCCAAGCCUCGGUUUCCUAUCUGUUAAAUGAGCACAUUGGAUUAGAGAUCUUUAAGGUCUCUUCCAUCUCUGAACAUUCUCGGGUUCUCACAUCCAAAGGGAGACAGUCAAGAUGCAAAAAGUAAAACCUAGGUACUCAGCUCAGUGUCUGGGGUGCAGUUGAAGGAGACAUCUUGCAGGCUCCUAAGUUCCAGGGCUCUAACCCUGGACCCCUUGGCCUAGAAGAGACCACAAGGCCAGCUGUCCAGCCUGCCAUCUCCCGCUGAGCACACUCCCCACCUCCCCACCCCCCAGGCUAGAAAUUGCCCCCUAGAGCAGAGAGUGGUGUUAAACAGCUUGGGCUUUGAAUCCACAUUGAAGUUCUGACCCUGUCACAGAGAACUCAGGAUAGUGAGAGAGACAAGUGGUUGGGCUCAAGGCUCAAAGACUGAAGCUCAGAUCCAUGCGCCUCUGGGCAAGUUAUUUAAUCUCUCUAACUUUGGUCUCCUUAUCUAUUGAAUAGGAAUGAUAAUAAUAGUCCAAAUUGCAUAGGGCUGCUGUGAAGAUCAGAUAAGAUAGUGCCUGUAAAGCACCUAACCCAGGCUCUUGGUUUAGUCAAAAUGUAUAAGUUGUUGUUGUUGUUGUUGUUAUUAUUAUUAUUAUUGCCUACUCAUUGGAAGCUUUUCUUGAUGUUCAUGUGAACCAGGAAACACUGGAUUAUAAAUUCUGUGAUGGGGAGGGGGUGGGACACAUUGAUUGGAAACACCAAAUGGGGCUUCAAAGCCCUAGAGAUGGCCCUUGUAAUUAAGAGAGUAGCCCUAAAUUUGAGAACUCAGUCACCCCCCUGCAGGGGUUGAUGUAUGUGCUACCUUGGGACACAGGGAGGCUGCCCAGGAGAGGCCACACCCUACCCCUGGACUGAGAGAAGAGUUGCAGAGACCUCUCUGCCAUCCUCCUGUGAGGCUGGCAUCUGUUGCCUGACGGCCUUCUAUUGCUGGCUGUGGCCUGGGGCCACUUCAGCCUGUCACAUUGGACUUCUCUCCCUCCCCCAAAGGGAGAAGCCUUUGGCAGUCACCUCCUAGCAUGGAUUUGGCAUUUGCUCCUUGAAAAACUCCAGGCCAGCCGGAGCGUGGGGCAAAAUCUCCUCCCAUCUAGAUCAUGUGCUAGCUGCCUUGCUCUGCCAUCUUCCCACAGACAUGCUGGUCUCGCCUGCUGCCUUUGGCCCUGAGGUUGCAGCAGCUCUACAAGAGGCAGGGUCACUAUCUCCCCACUCCCACACCCCACCCUGGGCUCCUUCGGAAUCUGCACUCGGAGGGCUCCUCUAUGAACAGUGUCACAAGGCUUUGCCCUCUCAAAAAUAUCAUCUUCCCAAAAAAGCCUGUAUUAAGCACUUAUCGGCACAUGGUGUUGUGCUGAGCUCUGUUUCUAGUGAGUCACACUGUCACAGGCUCUGCCCUCUGGGAAAAAGUCUGGAAUCUUUGGCAAAGACUGUAAACUCCAGUUUAGCUAAGUACUUGGUUGUUAGGAAGGAAGGAGUCUUUUAAAAAUGUCCCCAAGGCCAUUGGGCAGUGACCCUCUUCUACUUGUUUUCACCUCCCUUUUCCCACUUCUGGCUUUCUCCUCUCCUCUCCUCCUGUUCUCUCUCCUUCCUCCUGCCCCAAACUCCCAAACACUUUCUUUCUCCUCCAUCUGAAUUUCAGGUGGACUUAUUCUCCCUCUUUUAAAUCCAGAGAAUUCUUUGGCUCAAUGUGACACUUGAUUUUAAGCAAGCAAUAACAUUAAAUUUUAAGGUCUUUGAGGGUUUAAGAACACAUCCAUAAGUAUAUUUCUACUUUAGAUAUAAAAAGGCAUGUUUCAGGGCGCGCCUGGGUGGCUCAGUUGGUUAAGCGCCUGACUUCAGCUCAGGCCAUGAUCUCAUGGGUUCAUGACUUUGAGCCCCACAUUGGUAUCUGCUGACGGUAUGGAGCCUGCUUGGGAUUUUCUCUCUCUGCCCCUCCCCCACUUCUCUCUCUCUCUCUCUCUCUCUCUCUCUCUCUCUCCCUCCCUCCCUCCCUCCCUCCCUCCCUCUCUCUCUCUCUCUGUAUCUCAAAAUAAAUAAACUUUAAAAAGAAUAGGGGUGCCUGUGUGGCUCAGUUGGUUGAGCAUCCAACUUCGGCUCAAGUCAUGAUCUUGCGGUUUGUGGGUGGGUUUGAGCCCCACACCAGGCUCACUGGUGUCAGCACAUAGCCCACUUCGGAUCCUCUGUCCCGCUGUCUCUCUGUCCCUCCCUCUCCCUCUCUCUCAAAAAUAAAUACACAUUUUUUUUUAAUGAAAAUAAUAAAAUAAAAGGCCAUGUUUCAGAAAUUCCAAAAUCUUUUUUUUUAGCUUUUUUUAAUGUUUAUUUAUUUUUGAGAGAGAACUCAAGCAGGAGAGGGGCAAAGAGAGAGAGGGACACAGAAUCUGAAGCAGGCUCCAGGCUCUGAGCUGUCAGCACAGAGCCUGACAUGGGGCUCAAACCCACGAACUGCAAGAUCAUGACCUGAACCAAAGUCAGACACCCAACUGAUUGAGCCACCCUGGUGCCCAGAAAUUCCAGAAUCUUACAACCUUACAUUAAAGAAGUCAGACACACUAGAGAACGUCCUAACCAAGCAAACGUCAAUAUACGAGCCCUAGAAAAAAGAUACAGACAGCUACUUUGACUUUAAAAAGGAAAUGUAGCAAUUCCCCCCCAAAAUGCAAGGGACAAACAAGGUCUCUAUUUCAAAACAGUGCCCCAUCUUCCUGACCCUGGGGCUCAGUUGCUCUCCAGAGCUCUCCCUUACCAGUACCUAGCUGCCCAUCUUCCUGACAUCCAGUGCCUCGGCCCAGUUUCCGAAGCCAUUUUAAAACACAUUCAUUUUAAUAAUCAAGGAAUCUGGAGUUGUGCACAGUUUAGUGUUUCAUCAUUCUCCCCCGUUACUCAGCCCUUCUCUCCACAUCACUCAGAAGAGGCACCUUGGGGUCAUUUGGGCCCCUGACCAGCAAGAGGGAAAUUGACCUCCACCCAACAGCCAGCGUCAGACCAUAGGCUCAAGUAAAACCCAGCUGUGGAUCCAGUAGAGUUGGUAUUUAGUGCCCAGGGCCUUUUGAGGUGCAUUCCUGCCCAUAAUCCUGCCCCCUCUGAUCCCCUGACACAUGAAGCUGCCCUUGCCAUGUCCUCCCUCUGCACCUAGAAAUGUAUCUGUCCUGUCGAGUUUCUACGUUUUCUGAACCAGCGUGAGCACAAAUGGUCAGAUGAGAAUAUCUGUACUUAGCCAAUUUGAUAAAUAAGCUAAUGGGGGUGGGGGUGGGGAGGAGCAAGACACUUUCCUUGGCCCUCAGAUAAGUUGCUCUGCAUUUUUACAAGGGCCUGCUGAAGACAAUACCAACAGAAUGAGUAAUGAGGUAGUUCAUUCAUUAGGUAUCCCAGACAAAUAAACAAGAUACCAUUUGAGAGGAGACUGUUCCAAAAGAACAAGUUUGUUAUGAAGGGCUGGCGGGUGACCCUGCCUCAAUUGCUUUAAAAGGGCUCAUGGCUUUGUGCCGGAACCACCCCACUUCACCCCUGUUCCACCUCAGUCCUGAUCCUAACCAUAAACUGUAGUUUAAAAUAAAGCGGUUUUCAUUCA
This is an RNA transcript of Neofelis nebulosa (Clouded leopard), 10808 nucleotides long. It is a transcript of the gene named zinc finger protein 280C, with no coding region annotated. Lineage: Eukaryota; Metazoa; Chordata; Mammalia; Carnivora; Felidae. The transcript is spliced from 23 exons. The record is from RefSeq and is a predicted model, not a curated record.